UGAAUCAAUGGUGAUAACAGUUUCAUGGUUGGUUGGGUGAGUCAUGGCGACUGAAGGAAGGGGGAAGAAGAAGAAGAAGAAGAAGCGGCUAGUUUAUUUAGGGUUUUUGAAUCGAAAGCUCUGAUACCAUAUGUAAUGGGAAGCGUAAUCUUAUUAGAGCAUGCUGUUACAAUAUAUAUACAAGACUAGCUAGGGUUAC
Molecule: long non-coding RNA, 199 nt
Filed under: Brassica napus (rape)
Lineage: Eukaryota; Viridiplantae; Streptophyta; Magnoliopsida; Brassicales; Brassicaceae
Description: long non-coding RNA (BNAP_LNC001497)
Source: RNAcentral